UUUGGUUCCCUGUUCUGCAUUUUAAAAGCCAAGAUUAGUACACAAAAUCAUACAUGCACUUAACAUAUUUAGUAUAUAGAUGGAGGCGAUUUGGUGGUUACCUUCUGGUCAUUCAGUGUCUCCUUGAGAUUCAGUCUAAGCCUCCUUAGGCUAAACGUAUCCAAUGUCUUCUUCUUCCUUGUACUAGGCACCGUUCCAUAGGCUCAGGCUACCCAGUGCUUCAGAUUGGUUAGCCUUGCUUCAAUUCUCUUGCUCCACUGCCACAGGUUCAGUAACUUUCUUCGCAGCAGCAGCUUCAGGAACCGUUGUUGCCUCCACGGUGAUGGAGUCCGUGGAUAGGGACUUGGUGGC
Molecule: long non-coding RNA, 351 nt
Filed under: Triticum aestivum (bread wheat)
Lineage: Eukaryota; Viridiplantae; Streptophyta; Magnoliopsida; Poales; Poaceae
Description: long non-coding RNA (TAES_LNC023042)
Source: RNAcentral